Molecule: ribosomal RNA, 440 nt
Filed under: uncultured bacterium
Lineage: Bacteria
Description: partial 16S ribosomal RNA
Rfam family: Bacterial small subunit ribosomal RNA
Source: RNAcentral
CCUACGGGUGGCAGCAGUGGGGAAUAUUGCACAAUGGGGGAAACUCUGAUGCAGCGACGCCGCGUGCGUGAAGAAGUAACUCGUUAUGUAAAGCUCUAUUAGCAGGGAAGAAAAUGACGGUACCUGAGUAAGAAGCCCCGGCUAACUACGUGCCAGCAGCCGCGGUAAUACGUAGGGGGCAAGCGUUAUCCGGAUUUACUGGGUGUAAAGGGAGCGUAGACGGCAGUGCAAGUCUGGAGUGAAAGGCGGGGGCUCAACCGCCGGACUGCACUGGAAACUGGACGGCUGGAGUGCAGGGGAGGUAAGUGGAAUUCGUGGUGUAGCGGUGAAAUGCGUAGAUAUUAGGAGGAACACCAGUGGCGAAGGCGGCUUACUGGACUGUAACUGACGUUGAGGCUCGAAGGCGUGGGGAGCAAACAGGAUUAGAUACCCGGGUAGUC